Molecule: non-coding RNA, 46 nt
Filed under: Schistosoma haematobium
Lineage: Eukaryota; Metazoa; Platyhelminthes; Trematoda; Strigeidida; Schistosomatidae
Source: RNAcentral
GCACUGGCGAGGAGUCCCACAAUAGGACGAAACGGCCGUCCAGUUC